RNAcentral lists this ribosomal RNA (2907 nucleotides) under Enterobacter cancerogenus. RNAcentral describes it as "23S ribosomal RNA". It matches the Rfam family "Bacterial large subunit ribosomal RNA". The record is from RNAcentral. Lineage: Bacteria; Pseudomonadati; Pseudomonadota; Gammaproteobacteria; Enterobacterales; Enterobacteriaceae.
GGUUAAGCGACUAAGCGUACACGGUGGAUGCCCUGGCAGUCAGAGGCGAUGAAGGACGUGCUAAUCUGCGAAAAGCGACGGCGAGGUGAUAUGAACCCCUGACCCGUCGAUGUCCGAAUGGGGAAACCCAGUGCAAUCCGUUGCACUAUCGUUAACUGAAUACAUAGGUUAACGAGGCGAACCGGGGGAACUGAAACAUCUAAGUACCCCGAGGAAAAGAAAUCAACCGAGAUUCCCCCAGUAGCGGCGAGCGAACGGGGAGCAGCCCGGAGUCUGAAUCAGCUUGUGUGUUAGUGGAACGGUCUGGAAAGUCCGACGGUACAGGGUGAUAGUCCCGUACACGAAAGCACACUUGCUGUGAACUCGAAGAGUAGGGCGGGACACGUGGUAUCCUGUCUGAAUAUGGGGGGACCAUCCUCCAAGGCUAAAUACUCCUGACUGACCGAUAGUGAACCAGUACCGUGAGGGAAAGGCGAAAAGAACCCCGGCGAGGGGAGUGAAAAAGAACCUGAAACCGUGUACGUACAAGCAGUGGGAGCCUCUUUUAUGGGGUGACUGCGUACCUUUUGUAUAAUGGGUCAGCGACUUAUAUUCUGUAGCAAGGUUAACCGUAUAGGGGAGCCGAAGGGAAACCGAGUCUUAACUGGGCGUUAAGUUGCAGGGUAUAGACCCGAAACCCGGUGAUCUAGCCAUGGGCAGGUUGAAGGUUGGGUAACACUAACUGGAGGACCGAACCGACUAAUGUUGAAAAAUUAGCGGAUGACCUGUGGCUGGGGGUGAAAGGCCAAUCAAACCGGGAGAUAGCUGGUUCUCCCCGAAAGCUAUUUAGGUAGCGCCUCGUGAACUCAUCUUCGGGGGUAGAGCACUGUUUCGGCUAGGGGGCCAUCCCGGCUUACCAACCCGAUGCAAACUACGAAUACCGAAGAAUGUUAUCACGGGAGACACACGGCGGGUGCUAACGUCCGUCGUGAAGAGGGAAACAACCCAGACCGCCAGCUAAGGUCCCAAAGUCAUGGUUAAGUGGGAAACGAUGUGGGAAGGCACAGACAGCCAGGAUGUUGGCUUAGAAGCAGCCAUCAUUUAAAGAAAGCGUAAUAGCUCACUGGUCGAGUCGGCCUGCGCGGAAGAUGUAACGGGGCUAAACCAUGCACCGAAGCUGCGGCAGCGACGCUUAUGCGUUGUUGGGUAGGGGAGCGUUCUGUAAGCCGUUGAAGGUGUGCUGUGAGGCAUGCUGGAGGUAUCAGAAGUGCGAAUGCUGACAUAAGUAACGAUAAAGCGGGUGAAAAGCCCGCUCGCCGGAAGACCAAGGGUUCCUGUCCAACGUUAAUCGGGGCAGGGUGAGUCGACCCCUAAGGCGAGGCCGAAAGGCGUAGUCGAUGGGAAACAGGUUAAUAUUCCUGUACUUGGUGUUACUGCGAAGGGGGGACGGAGAAGGCUAUGUUAGCCGGGCGACGGUUGUCCCGGUUUAAGCAUGUAGGCGGAGGUUCCAGGUAAAUCCGGUACCUUUUUAACGCUGAGGUGUGAUGACGAGGCACUACGGUGCUGAAGUAACAAAUGCCCUGCUUCCAGGAAAAGCCUCUAAGCAUCAGGUAACACGAAAUCGUACCCCAAACCGACACAGGUGGUCAGGUAGAGAAUACCAAGGCGCUUGAGAGAACUCGGGUGAAGGAACUAGGCAAAAUGGUGCCGUAACUUCGGGAGAAGGCACGCUGAUAUGUAGGUGAAGUCCCUGCGGAUGGAGCUGAAAUCAGUCGAAGAUACCAGCUGGCUGCAACUGUUUAUUAAAAACACAGCACUGUGCAAACACGAAAGUGGACGUAUACGGUGUGACGCCUGCCCGGUGCCGGAAGGUUAAUUGAUGGGGUUAGCGGCAACGCGAAGCUCUUGAUCGAAGCCCCGGUAAACGGCGGCCGUAACUAUAACGGUCCUAAGGUAGCGAAAUUCCUUGUCGGGUAAGUUCCGACCUGCACGAAUGGCGUAAUGAUGGCCAGGCUGUCUCCACCCGAGACUCAGUGAAAUUGAACUCGCUGUGAAGAUGCAGUGUACCCGCGGCAAGACGGAAAGACCCCGUGAACCUUUACUAUAGCUUGACACUGAACACUGGUCCUUGAUGUGUAGGAUAGGUGGGAGGCUUUGAAGCGUGGACGCCAGUCUGCGUGGAGCCGUCCUUGAAAUACCACCCUUUAAUGGCUGGUGUUCUAACGUGGACCCGUUACCCGGGUUGCGGACAGUGUCUGGUGGGUAGUUUGACUGGGGCGGUCUCCUCCCAAAGAGUAACGGAGGAGCACGAAGGUUAGCUAAUCCUGGUCGGACAUCAGGAGGUUAGUGCAAUGGCAUAAGCUAGCUUGACUGCGAGAGUGACGGCUCGAGCAGGUGCGAAAGCAGGUCAUAGUGAUCCGGUGGUUCUGAAUGGAAGGGCCAUCGCUCAACGGAUAAAAGGUACUCCGGGGAUAACAGGCUGAUACCGCCCAAGAGUUCAUAUCGACGGCGGUGUUUGGCACCUCGAUGUCGGCUCAUCACAUCCUGGGGCUGAAGUAGGUCCCAAGGGUAUGGCUGUUCGCCAUUUAAAGUGGUACGCGAGCUGGGUUUAGAACGUCGUGAGACAGUUCGGUCCCUAUCUGCCGUGGGCGCUGGAGAAUUGAGGGGGGCUGCUCCUAGUACGAGAGGACCGGAGUGGACGCAUCACUGGUGUUCGGGUUGUCAUGCCAAUGGCACUGCCCGGUAGCUAAAUGCGGAAGAGAUAAGUGCUGAAAGCAUCUAAGCACGAAACUUGCCCCGAGAUGAGUUCUCCCUGAGACUUUAAGUCUCCUGAAGGAACGUUGAAGACGACGACGUUGAUAGGUCGGGUGUGUAAGCGCAGCGAUGCGUUGAGCUAACCGAUACUAAUGAACCGUGAGGCUUAACCUU